RNAcentral lists this ribosomal RNA (482 nucleotides) under uncultured bacterium. RNAcentral's name for it is "partial 16S ribosomal RNA". It matches the Rfam family "Bacterial small subunit ribosomal RNA", at positions 30 to 507 of the family's 1533-position model. The record is from RNAcentral.
AUUGAACGCUGGCGGCAUGCCUAACACAUGCAAGUCGAACGGUAACGGGCCUUCGUGUGCCGACGAGUGGCGGACGGGGGAGUAAUACAUCGGAACGUGCCCGAUCGUUGGGGAUAACGAGUCGACAGGUUUGCUAAUACCGCAUACGAUCUACGGUUGAAAGCCGGGGGCCGCAAUGGCUUGCGCCGGCUGAGCGGCCGAUGACGGAUGAGGUCGUUGGUGGGAUAAAAGUUUACCAAGCCGACGAUUUGUAGCCGAACUGAGAGGGUGCUCGGCCACACUGGAACUGAGACACGGCCCAGACUCCUACGGGAGGCAGCAGUAGGGAAUCUUCGGCAAAGGGCGGAAGCCUGACGCAGCAAGGCCGCGUGAGUGAUGAAGGUCUUCGGUUCGUAAAACUCUGUUUUUAGGGAAGAACAGCUUUCUAAUUAGACAGGAAGGUCAUGACGGUACCGUAUCAAUAAGCACCGGCUAACUACGUG